UACGAAUGGGGCGAGCGUUGUUCGGAAUCACUGGGCGUAAAGAGUGCGUAGGCGGUUAUGAAAGUUAGAAGUGAAAGCCCAGGGCUCAACCUUGGAAUUGCUUUUAAAACUACAUAACUCGAAUUUGGGAGAGGAUAGCGGAAUUGUCAGUGUAGCGGUAAAAUGCGUAGAUAUUGACAGGAACACCAGUGGCGUAAGCGGCUAUCUGGACCAACAUUGACGCUGAGGCACGAAAGCGUGGGGAUCAAACAGG
Molecule: ribosomal RNA, 253 nt
Filed under: uncultured bacterium
Lineage: Bacteria
Description: partial 16S ribosomal RNA
Rfam family: Bacterial small subunit ribosomal RNA
Source: RNAcentral